GAACUGAAGAGUUUGAUCAUGGCUCAGAUUGAACGCUGGCGGCAGGCCUAACACAUGCAAGUCGAGCGGUAGAGAGAAGCUUGCUUCUCUUGAGAGCGGCGGACGGGUGAGUAAUGCCUAGGAAUCUGCCUGGUAGUGGGGGAUAACGUUCGGAAACGGACGCUAAUACCGCAUACGUCCUACGGGAGAAAGCAGGGGACCUUCGGGCCUUGCGCUAUCAGAUGAGCCUAGGUCGGAUUAGCUAGUUGGUGGGGUAAUGGCUCACCAAGGCGACGAUCCGUAACUGGUCUGAGAGGAUGAUCAGUCACACUGGAACUGAGACACGGUCCAGACUCCUACGGGAGGCAGCAGUGGGGAAUAUUGGACAAUGGGCGAAAGCCUGAUCCAGCCAUGCCGCGUGUGUGAAGAAGGUCUUCGGAUUGUAAAGCACUUUAAGUUGGGAGGAAGGGUUGUAGAUUAAUACUCUGCAAUUUUGACGUUACCGACAGAAUAAGCACCGGCUAACUCUGUGCCAGCAGCCGCGGUAAUACAGAGGGUGCAAGCGUUAAUCGGAAUUACUGGGCGUAAAGCGCGCGUAGGUGGUUAGUUAAGUUGGAUGUGAAAUCCCCGGGCUCAACCUGGGAAC
This 625-nucleotide ribosomal RNA is filed under the name Mycobacteroides sp. CBMA 326. RNAcentral's name for it is "bacterial SSU rRNA". It matches the Rfam family "Bacterial small subunit ribosomal RNA", at positions 1 to 621 of the family's 1533-position model. The record is from RNAcentral. Lineage: Bacteria; Bacillati; Actinomycetota; Actinomycetes; Mycobacteriales; Mycobacteriaceae.